This 371-nucleotide ribosomal RNA is filed under the name uncultured bacterium. RNAcentral's name for it is "bacterial SSU rRNA". It matches the Rfam family "Bacterial small subunit ribosomal RNA", at positions 527 to 896 of the family's 1533-position model. The record is from RNAcentral.
GGAGGGUGCAAGCGUUGUUCGGAAUCACUGGGCGUAAAGCGCGUGUAGGCGGCYUCUUAAGUCUGGUGUGAGAGCCCGGGGCUUACCCCCGGAAGGGCACUGGAAACUGGGAGGCUAGAGUACCGGAGAGGAAGGUGGAAUUCCUGGUGUAGCGGUGAAAUGCGUAGAUAUCAGGAGGAACACCGGUGGCGAAGGCGGCCUUCUGGACGGAUACUGACGCUGAGACGCGAAAGCGUGGGGAGCAAACAGGAUUAGAUACCCUGGUAGUCCACGCUGUAAACGAUGGGCACUAGGUGUUCGGGGUAUUGACCCCCUGAGUGCCGCAGCUAACGCAUUAAGUGCCCCGCCUGGGGACUACGGCCGCAAGGCUA